GCGGGCCCUACACAUUGCAAGUUCGAGCGGUAGCACAGAGAGCUUGCUCUCGGGUGACGAGCGGCGGACGGGUGAGUAAUGUCUGGGAAACUGCCUGAUGGAGGGGGAUAACUACUGGAAACGGUAGCUAAUACCGCAUAAUGUCGCAAGACCAAAGUGGGGGACCUUCGGGCCUCAUGCCAUCAGAUGUGCCCAGAUGGGAUUAGCUAGUAGGUGGGGUAACGGCUCACCUAGGCGACGAUCCCUAGCUGGUCUGAGAGGAUGACCAGCCACACUGGAACUGAGACACGGUCCAGACUCCUACGGGAGGCAGCAGUGGGGAAUAUUGCACAAUGGGCGCAAGCCUGAUGCAGCCAUGCCGCGUGUGUGAAGAAGGCCUUCGGGUUGUAAAGCA
RNAcentral lists this ribosomal RNA (394 nucleotides) under Klebsiella pneumoniae. RNAcentral's name for it is "bacterial SSU rRNA". It matches the Rfam family "Bacterial small subunit ribosomal RNA", at positions 42 to 432 of the family's 1533-position model. The record is from RNAcentral. Lineage: Bacteria; Pseudomonadati; Pseudomonadota; Gammaproteobacteria; Enterobacterales; Enterobacteriaceae.